CCGAAGAUGAAAAAUCGCCAAUGCCGGUGCCGACUGAACCUGUGAAUUCGACACUCACACAACUGACCGACUAAAAUUGAUAGCUCCGACCAGCACCUCCAACACAAACGACGAUGCCACAGGAAAGCGCACUUCUACAACUGCCUGAUCACCGCGAAAUAACCUCCGACAACAGCCACAAAAACACCCACGUAACCCACAUCCACCACUACAACCACCGACGACUACCGAGACCAUCCACUGCUACACACAACGGAACCGGGUAUCAACAUAUUCUUGUUCGACAGGACUCAAUGGAGGAACGGCAAACGAAAAAGGUGUGUUGAGAAGAAGAAAAGAAAAAAUACCAAGCUCUAAAAAAAACGCUCUGAUACCAUGUUUGAAUUAGAGUUUGGUAUGAAACUUUGAGAAAAAGGUUAAUUACCUUCCUCUCCUCUUCAUUCAUUAUAUAGAAAAAAUAAGAGUACAUAUAUGGAAACAUGACAAUUACGGGAAAACAAUAAACGGUAGUUAUACUCUUACUUAAUUU
Molecule: long non-coding RNA, 529 nt
Filed under: Olea europaea subsp. europaea
Lineage: Eukaryota; Viridiplantae; Streptophyta; Magnoliopsida; Lamiales; Oleaceae
Source: RNAcentral